RNAcentral lists this unclassified non-coding RNA (199 nucleotides) under Entrophospora etunicata. Its description in RNAcentral is "Claroideoglomus etunicatum partial internal transcribed spacer region". The stretch from base 1 to 46 matches the Rfam family "Eukaryotic small subunit ribosomal RNA", at positions 1786 to 1831 of the family's 1831-position model. Lineage: Eukaryota; Fungi; Glomeromycota; Glomeromycetes; Entrophosporales; Entrophosporaceae. The record is from RNAcentral.
AAGUCGUAACAAGGUUUCCGUAGGUGAACCUGCGGAAGGAUCAUUAUAAAAUUUUCAUAUAUUAAAAUUCAUUUAAUAUAUAAAAUUAUAUACAAAAUGUAUUCAAAACCCACACUCUUUAUAACCAUAAAAAAAUUUAUAUUAUUAUUUAUAAUAUAAAAAAAAAAAACAACUUUCAACAACGGAUCUCUUGGCUCUC